GACAGAGGUGCCGAGCGUUAGGCGGAAUCACUGGGCUUAAAGCGCGUGUAGGUGGGUCGUUAAGUGUCCGCGUGAAAUCCCACGGCUCAACCGCGGAACUGCUGGGCAUACUGGCGAUCUUGAGGCAUUCAGGGGCGAGCGGAACAAGUGGUGGAGCGGUGAAAUGCGUAGAUAUCACUUGGAACGCCAAUGGUGAAAACAGCUCGCUGGGAAUGAUCUGACACUGAGACGCGAAAGCCGGGGGAGCGAACGGG
Molecule: ribosomal RNA, 254 nt
Filed under: uncultured bacterium
Lineage: Bacteria
Description: partial 16S ribosomal RNA
Rfam family: Bacterial small subunit ribosomal RNA
Source: RNAcentral